Molecule: non-coding RNA, 2198 nt
Organism: Drosophila suzukii
Lineage: Eukaryota; Metazoa; Arthropoda; Insecta; Diptera; Drosophilidae
Source: RefSeq, a predicted model, not a curated record
GCUAUGCCAACCAAAAUGGAUUCAUGUUAUUCUAGCUAUUUCCUCUCUCUCCCAAAACGCGCCACCACUAUCUUAUGGCGGCCGUGAUACUACGUGAGUAUGAGAAAAUUGGGGGCCUGGGAAGCGGCUAAAGAAGAAGCAGCCGCUUAAGGCGAUAAGCAGCACCUUGCUGCAGAUAAGACAGCCCGAGCUGGACGUGCAAAAUCAGGGGACCUGGUCAAAUUCGCAAAGUUCCCGGGAAGUGGCCGGAAGGGACUCGUUCCGCUUGCCCUUCAAAUAGGUCCAAAACCACUCUGCAAACACAAAACAAAUGCCAGCGGAAAACGGGGAAAAGCAAAGCCAAACGAGAAGGCAGAAAAGACAGGCGCAACAAUCGUCACGUAGCCCAGCACUCACACCGAGACACCGUUGGCACACGCACAUGCGAGCGUACCCACACAAGCGACGAAAAAGCCACACGCACAGGCCUUAAUGCGAUAGCCAAGUGAGUCGGAAAGAGAGGGUCCCAGCCAAGGGAGUGCGAGGGGGUCGGAAAUAGAUAUUUUAAUUUGUUUAAUACAAAUAUCUGCUAAAAAUGCUUUGAAAGUAAACCCGAAGAUGAGCUACAGAACGGCGGAAACACGGAAGCUAUGCGAAUGUAUGCGACCACAGAACUGGGUCAACGGCCCAGUUCAAAGAUGGAGCCACGCCGAGCACACUUAGAGAAAUAACAGCGUAAGUCAUUGAAAUUGAAAACAUGUUUCUGGGUACAUUGUAAUGAUCGAUUGGAGCCCUUAGGCUGUGAUGAAUUACGUGCGACAACGGCAACUGCGGCACGUGUACCACACGCAGCUCUCGGCUCUUCAGUGGGUGGAGAACUGGCGGGGUAAAGGGGCGCGGCAGACGCACACGCACUGAGGGGCGGACGACCUUGAUGACGUGCGUCUGCCUACGUAGCUCGCUUUGGCUCUUUUAUGUUCGAGAAACCGCUAGAUACUGCCACAGGUUCAUGAAUAAAAGUAAGUCAAUGAAUGUGGUUUGGAUGGAAUAAUUCAGAAAAUUUGAAGUUAAUACACAACAUUUCUUACUUUGAACGAAUUGAAUUAAAUGUUAGAUGUAACUUAUAAUAAUAUGACGUCUAUAAUUUGUCCCAUAUAUUUAGUUUAACUUAUUUUUCGAAAGAUGGAAGGGAAAACACCUACAGCUGUGCGUUAAACUAUUUUCUGAAGCUUAAUAUUUAAAAAUUACACAGGCAAUCUCGAUUCUAGAAAUAUGUACGUGACCUAGCAAUCUUUUUUCAUCUUCAGCUAUGUUAAUAAAUGCGAAGGCAACACUUUAUAAGAAUCGACCGGGAAAAUGGCUAUUGACCUUUCUUAUCAAAUUUGUGACAUUAACAGUCGGCGGCGGUUGAAUGCGGUUUUCGGCGAUCGUUGUUUAUCGAGUCUUGCGCAACCAUAUUGUUUAUUUUCCCGGAGAGUUGCUUGACAGGCUCACCGGCAAAUUUAGCACAUUUAUAAACAAUGUCGGAAUUUGGCAAACCCCUGGAAAUGAGAUCACGUUGGGCUGACUUCUAAGUGUUUGAUAAAGAACAACACAUCUCGCCACAGAUUGAUAUCUCAGAGCCAAGGCAAAUGGUAAUUCUGAUAGCACAAUUUAAACGAUACGCUUGCGUAUUCUCGGCACGUAGGCAAAGCGGUACGGACCACCCUGCUGAACGGACCACCCAAUCCGCUCGAUAAGAAGCUCAAAAAAGAGACGGAGUAUACUGCACUCGUUGACAAAAUUGUUUAACAAUAGUAAGCCUAACAGAAAGAAAAUCCGUUAAGUAUUUACACUUGGUAUAUGAAAAAUAAAUGAAUGGCAAAAGAAAUAGAACUAGAGUUACUUGUAGUAUUCCAAACUUAAAACAAAGAUUCUCUCUCUGCAAGUAGAUCUAACAAACUAUAAGGGAAAGGAAAUGCAUAUUGACUAUUGGGCAUAAUCGAAUUAUUGAAAAGUGCUUUUAUUGAUGACUCAGCCCAUUUCACUGGAAGUUAUGCCCAACGAUUGCGAAAGAAUUUCUAUAUUUGUUCCAACGUGUGCGGUGCAUGUUUGUUGUAUCUGUUAAUGCCGGGGUGUAAAGCAAAAAUAAAUAAGUAAGCGAGUAUCAAAGAUUCGGACGCAACAAACUGCGCACCAGAAUAAUUGCAAAGUCAGCACCUCUGUCCGGAAAACUGCGA